GACGGAGGAUGCAAGCGUUAUCCGGAAUUAUUGGGCGUAAAGCGUCCGCAGGUGGCUGUUCAAGUCUGCUGUCAAAGCGCAGAGCUUAACUCUGUACAGGCGGUGGAAACUGAAGAGCUAGAGUAUGGUAGGGGUAGAGGGAAUUCCCGGUGUAGCGGUGAAAUGCGUAGAUAUCGGGAAGAACACCAGUGGCGAAGGCGGGUCUCUGGGCCGAUACUGACGCUGAGGAGCGAAAGCGUGGGGAGCGAACAGG
RNAcentral lists this ribosomal RNA (253 nucleotides) under uncultured bacterium. RNAcentral's name for it is "partial 16S ribosomal RNA". It matches the Rfam family "Bacterial small subunit ribosomal RNA", at positions 524 to 776 of the family's 1533-position model. The record is from RNAcentral.